Molecule: long non-coding RNA, 494 nt
Filed under: Setaria viridis
Lineage: Eukaryota; Viridiplantae; Streptophyta; Magnoliopsida; Poales; Poaceae
Description: long non-coding RNA (SVIR_LNC007257)
Source: RNAcentral
CGUAUUUGGAGGUAAACAGAAACGGGAUGAUAAAGUCCGGUAAUGGUACGGGAAACGGUAUAGGGUAACCGGUAACGAUACGGUAUACGGUUGAGGGGAUAUCCCGCCUGUAUUUGCAGGAUCUCGUUUUCAAUAGAGAUGGUCCCGUAUUCUUUCUGUUUCCUAGUAAAUGGGAUAGGCCCAAUAUGCACUAUCUGUCUAUCAAUCUAUCUCAUUCCUCCGAUCCUCCCCAAAUUCCAAUCGGCCCAGCCCAACGAGGCUGUGACAACCAACCAUCCAACACUCAAACCCUAGGCUAGCCUGGGCGCCUGGCGUGUGGUCUCGAUCUCACCUAGCACCAUAGCGAUAGCCUGCAGUGCCGCAGUCCUCCCGAGUCCCGACUCCCUGCGCUACGCCCUCGUCCCUCACCUCGUAGGCUCACAGCGCACCGCUCUUAACCCUGACCCUCACUGGUUCGCUGCCUCGUAGGCUCGCGGCGCACCGCUCGCACACCG